RNAcentral lists this ribosomal RNA (400 nucleotides) under uncultured bacterium. RNAcentral describes it as "bacterial SSU rRNA". It matches the Rfam family "Bacterial small subunit ribosomal RNA", at positions 355 to 760 of the family's 1533-position model. The record is from RNAcentral.
UGGGGAAUCUUGCGCAAUGGGCGAAAGCCUGACGCAGCGACGCCGUGUGUGUGAUGAAGGUCUUCGGAUCGUAAAGCACUGUCGCCCGGGACAAAAGCCCGAAAGGGAUUGAUGGUACCGGGAGAGGAAGCACCGGCUAACUCUGUGCCAGCAGCCGCGGUAAUACAGAGGGUGCGAGCGUUGUUCGGAAUUAUUGGGCGUAAAGCGCAUGUAGGCGGGUUGUCAAGUCGCGUGUGAAAGCCCCAGGCUCAACCUGGGAAGUGCGCGCGAAACUGGCGACCUUGAGUGCUGGAGAGGGUGGCGGAAUUCCCGGUGUAGAGGUGAAAUUCGUAGAUAUCGGGAGGAACACCAGAGGCGAAGGCGGCCACCUGGACAGACACUGACGCUGAGAAGCGAAAGC